CGUAGCCACGGGAAAACCAGCACCUCGAGUGGUCAGGAGGUUUAUUGGGCCUAAAGCAUCCGUAGCCGGUUGCAUAAGUUUUCGGUUAAAUCUAUGCGCUUAACGUAUAGGCCGCCGAAAAUACUGUGCAGCUAGGGAGUGGGAGAGGUACACGGUACUCGAUAGGAAGGGGUAAAAUCCUUUGAUCUAUUGAUGACCACCUGUGGCGAAGGCGGUGUACCAGAACACGUUCGACGGUGAGGGAUGAAAGCUGGGGGAGCAAACCGGAUUAGAUACCCCUGUAGUCCCUGUCUCUUAUACA
Molecule: ribosomal RNA, 301 nt
Filed under: uncultured bacterium
Lineage: Bacteria
Description: partial 16S ribosomal RNA
Rfam family: Archaeal small subunit ribosomal RNA
Source: RNAcentral